RNAcentral lists this long non-coding RNA (2164 nucleotides) under Homo sapiens (human). Its description in RNAcentral is "non-protein coding lnc-PRICKLE2-3:6". Lineage: Eukaryota; Metazoa; Chordata; Mammalia; Primates; Hominidae. The record is from RNAcentral.
AAACUGGCUUUGGCACCUCCAGAGAAUGAACUGUUUCAUAGCCUAGCUGACCAUCCAUGAAAAUGGCUGCCUGGAGAGGCAGUGAUCAGCCCAUCCCUGCAGGGUGAAGAUAAGCUUGUGCAGGCCACUGGCUAACACAGUUCAUCCCAUGCCUCCUACAUACCAAGCACUGUGCCAGGCACUUUUCACGUCUGGCAUCCUCAGAAUCCUCCAAAAGGAGAGGUUCGUGGAGGAUAAUGCUGUCAGGCUUGGAAGCAGCAGUAGAGAUCACGUUGCCCAGCUCUUGGCAUCAUUGGUUCCCAAAGCUCUGAAUCCCCUGGAGAGCUUUUGUAAAAGGUCGGAUUCAGACAAUCCGGUGGAGCACUCUGAAAUUUAGAGGAAGUGGUCAAAUAGAAUUUUCUGGAAUUAUGGAAAUCUUCUAUUCUGUGCAUCUAGUAUAGUAGAAUCUAGUCACAUGUGGCUUUUGAGAACUGGAAAUAUGGCUAAUGCAACAGAGAAAGUGAAUUUUUACUUUUGAUUCAUUUAAAUAUAAAUGGUCACAUAUGACAUCACUGCCAUAUUGGACAUUGCAGUUCUGGAAGAUGGCAGAUGCAGCCCUCAGAAGAAUUAUCAGCCUGAAUGUCUGGGCGGAGCAGAGCACUACCUUCCCACUCACUCUUCCCCUCCUCUCGCCCCCUCCCCUGCCUCACUUGCAUCAGAUUAUGAUGUGAGCAAAAGCAGGAAACAGCUCUUUUGAUAGGCCUGUGAGACUUGCUGUUCGUUGGAGUAGCUAGGCUGCUCUGACUCAUACAGACCCAAAUCCUGGCAACCACUUUUAUGAAGAAAUGACAAUUCAGUCUACUACUUGUCCAUUUUACAUGCCCAAGGAAUGUGAGGGGCCUCUGCUUGGAUCUAGUUUUCAACCUAGUCUAUGGCAUUGAUUAUCCUUUUAAAAGACAAAAGAGGUGACUUCACGGGCACUUAACAUCUUGGCCAUACUGACCCCAGUUGCACGCUACGUAGGAAGUUUUAGUCCAUUUAAACUGAAGUUCCAAUUUUUUUUUUAACAACUAUUUAAAAAUUGUACAUGUCCCAUACAUGACAGAGAAAGGGUUGUCUGGUUGGAUGAUUUUUGGCUUGCAAAAAGAGAACACAAAAGAAAAGCAUACGUUUUAAUACUCAAGAGACCAAAUUUUCUGCUGAAGAGGAAAUGAACUACAUAUCCAGAAGGGUCCUACCAAGAGGCCAAACAGACUGUGUUCUCUUGGGGGAGUUCUCAGUGGUGAUGAGAACACCACUUUUUUUUUUUUUUUAGUCAUUUUCAAGGUGAGAUAUUGACUUGCUGCUGGAGCAGGACAACUGGUCUCUCUUUCAUUGCUAGCAGCAGAGUAAGGGUCUUGCAAGUUUCAGGCAGCAGCAGAGAAAGGGUCUUGCAAGUUUCAGUCCAAAGCAAGAAGAGCUAGGAUUGCACCAGCUGUCUCACCUACUCUGUGCUCACCUGUUUCUGGAUGAAGCACGGUGACAUCUGUUUUAUUGUAAAGAGAACCAACUUUGGAAUCAAAUGGAACCUGUAUUAAAAUCCUGAAUCCGUCACUAGCUUGGACAAGUCACUUCACUUCUCUGAACCUUGUUUUAUUCCAGUUAAGAAUAAUAGUAAGCCAGUCCCACAGAGCUGUAGCAAGGUUAAAAUGAAUGGUUGUCUGUAGAAGCAUUUAAAAUAGGGCUUCAUACAGAGCCAGUACCUGGGGAGACUGAGGGUUUGAACCACAUAGUUCCACUCUGGCAAAUCACAGAGGGGCUGUAGGAUGGUCCUUUAAGGGGGAUGUGUUAUGGGUUAAUUGGAACAGUGCUUCUUAAACUCCAGUGUGCAUUCAUAUUGCUUAGGGGUUUUGUUUAAAUGCAGAUUCUGAGUUACUAGGAUUAUGCAAUUUGAAUGAGCUUGCAGAUAAUUUCAUGGCUGCUGGUCUCUGACAUCACCUUUGAGAAGCAAAGAAUUAAAGGUCCUGUCCUGAUCUGUCUCCUUCUCCUGUUAUCUGUGCAAAAGAGAUAUACUGUCUACUUUGCAUAGUGAGAUGGCAGGUACAAAAGUAGGAUGAGGAUAAUGUAGCAUGAGCACAGAGAAGGAAAACCUAGGAGGAUGAGUAAAGAAAUCAUGGGAAAAGAGAUAGAUUCAAGGCUUUCAAUC